UUUUGACAGGAAGACGUCCAGUUAAAAAUUAAAUACAGACAUUGAUCUUCAUUUGGCAGUUGCCUUUUCUUCACAAAAUGAGCAAAGUUAGAUGUGUAUUCGUCGUUGGGGACAUACCACACCUGUCCUUGCGCUAGUUCUCUGAAAUAGGGAAAAGACAAGCCUAGCAAGGCAAAAAACAGAAAGUCACAUGAAAACAAGCUUACACUACGGCAUAUGGAUUCGCAGUGAACGAAAAAGUAAUGGGCUUCUGGAAACCGGAGAAGAAAUUGUAUAAUGCAACAGUCUUAGAAAAAACUAAAUCAGGUAAACCAUGAUAUAAAUCAAAGAGAGAUUACAAAAGAACGAUAAUUAAUAAAUUGAUUGAUAGUCAGGUAGUUUUUUGUUUU
This is a long non-coding RNA of Mytilus trossulus (common blue mussel), 389 nucleotides long. RefSeq lists it as uncharacterized. The record is from RefSeq and is a predicted model, not a curated record. The transcript is spliced from 3 exons. NCBI's taxonomy places the organism in Eukaryota, Metazoa, Mollusca, Bivalvia, Mytilida, Mytilidae.